UACAGAGGGUGCGAGCGUUAAUCGGAAUUACUGGGCGUAAAGGGUGCGUAGGUGGUUAGAUAAGUUAGGUGUGAAAGUCCCGGGCUUAACCUGGGGAUUGCGCCUAAUACUGUUUAGCUAGAGUAUUGUAGAGGAAAGUGGAAUUUCCGGUGUAGCGGUGAAAUGCGUAGAUAUCGGAAGGAAUAUCGGUGGCGAAGGCGACUUUCUGGACAAAUACUGACACUGAGGCACGAAAGCGUGGGGAGCAAACAGG
Molecule: ribosomal RNA, 253 nt
Filed under: uncultured bacterium
Lineage: Bacteria
Description: partial 16S ribosomal RNA
Rfam family: Bacterial small subunit ribosomal RNA
Source: RNAcentral